GAUGAAGAACGUAGCGAAAUGCGAUAAGUAAUGUGAAUUGCAGAAUUCAGUGAAUCAUCGAAUCUUUGAACGCACAUUGCGCCCCCUGGUAUUCCGGGGGGCAUGCCUGUUCGAGCGUCAUUUCACCACUCAAGCCUCGCUUGGUAUUGGGCAACGCGGUCCGCCGCGUGCCUCAAAUCGACCGGCUGGGUCUUCUGUCCCCUAAGCGUUGUGGAAACUAUUCGCUAAAGGGUGUUCGGGAGGCUACGCCGUAGAACAACCCCAUUUCUAAGGUUGACCUCGGAUCAGGUAGGGAUACCCGCUGAACUUAAGCAUAUCAAUAAGCGGAGGA
Molecule: unclassified non-coding RNA, 331 nt
Filed under: soil metagenome
Description: partial contains 5.8S ribosomal RNA, internal transcribed spacer 2, and large subunit ribosomal RNA
Rfam family: 5.8S ribosomal RNA (bases 1-120)
Source: RNAcentral